This 460-nucleotide ribosomal RNA is filed under the name uncultured bacterium. Its description in RNAcentral is "partial 16S ribosomal RNA". It matches the Rfam family "Bacterial small subunit ribosomal RNA", at positions 338 to 795 of the family's 1533-position model. The record is from RNAcentral.
CCUACGGGUGGCAGCAGUGAGGAAUAUUGGUCAAUGGACGAGAGUCUGAACCAGCCAAGUAGCGUGAAGGAUGACUGCCCUAUGGGUUGUAAACUUCUUUUAUAUAGGAAUAAAACGAGGCACGUGUGCGUUUUUGUAUGUACCUUAUGAAUAAGGAUCGGCUAACUCCGUGCCAGCAGCCGCGGUAAUACGGAGGAUCCGAGCGUUAUCCGGAUUUAUUGGGUUUAAAGGGAGCGUAGAUGGGUUGUUAAGUCAGUUGUGAAAGUUUGCGGCUCAACCGUAAAAUUGCAAUUGAUACUGGCAGUCUUGAGUACAGUUGAGGUGAGCGGAAUUCGUGGUGUAGCGGUGAAAUGCUUAGAUAUCACGAAGAACCCCGAUUGCGAAGGCAGCUUACUAAACUGUAACUGACAUUGAUGCUCGAAAGUGUGGGUAUCAAACAGGAUUAGAUACCCUGGUAGUC